UAGUCCACGCCGUAAACGAUGUCUACUAGCCGUUGGGAGACUUGAUUUCUUAGUGGCGCAGCUAACGCAAUAAGUAGACCGCCUGGGGAGUACGGCCGCAAGGUUAAAACUCAAAUGAAUUGACGGGGGCCCGCACAAGCGGUGGAGCAUGUGGUUUAAUUCGAUGCAACGCGAAGAACCUUACCAGGCCUUGACAUCCUGAGAAUUUGGUAGAGAUAGAGGGGUGCUUCGGCCUGGAAAACAGGUGCUGCAUGGCUGUCGUCAGCUCGUGUCGUGAGAUGUUGGGUUAAGUCCCGCAACGAGCGCAACCCUUAUCCUUAGUUGCCAGCACGUUANGGUGGAACUCUAAGGAGACCGCCGGUGACAAACCGGNGGAAGGUGGGACGACGUCAAGUCAUCAUGGCCCUUAUAGGCAGGGCUACACACGUGCUACAAUGGCCGGUACAGAGGGUUGCCAACCCGGCAAGGGGGAGCCAAUCCCAGAAGCCUGUCCCAGUUCGGAUUGGAGUCUGC
This 513-nucleotide ribosomal RNA is filed under the name uncultured bacterium. RNAcentral's name for it is "bacterial SSU rRNA". It matches the Rfam family "Bacterial small subunit ribosomal RNA", at positions 791 to 1308 of the family's 1533-position model. The record is from RNAcentral.